Molecule: long non-coding RNA, 304 nt
Organism: Styela clava
Lineage: Eukaryota; Metazoa; Chordata; Ascidiacea; Stolidobranchia; Styelidae
Source: RefSeq, a predicted model, not a curated record
GUUAGACUUUUCAAAGAAGAUAGAUAGGCUUGACUUAGAUAAAAUUGUCUAAAAAAAUCAUCCUAAGUCAAAAUGAUGGACAAAAUCUUGGCACUGUUUCUGAUGUUGGCUGUUGCUUUAAUGAUGAUCCUCAAUGCAGAAGGAGGAUGUUCUCCUCCGUGUGUGCACUCUGAUUACUGCAUUGGAUCAAAUUGUGUACCCUCAACUAAUGGAAGAGAUUAAUAUUAUUAUCACAAUCAAGAACCGUACCACACGUAUUAAAUUGUUUAUAAACGGAUUAUAAUGAAUAAAUGCAACUUAUGGA